UGGGGAAUUUUCCGCAAUGGGCGAAAGCCUGACGGAGCAAUACCGCGUGCGGGAGGAAGGCCUUUGGGUCGUAAACCGCUUUUAACAGGGAAGAAGAUCUGACGGUACCUGUUGAAUAAGCCUCGGCUAACUCCGUGCCAGCAGCCGCGGUAAGACGGAGGAGGCAAGCGUUAUCCGGAAUUAUUGGGCGUAAAGCGUCCGCAGGUGGCCUUUCAAGUCUGCUGUUAAAGCCCAGGGCUCAACUCUGGAUCAGCAGUGGAAACUGAAAGGCUAGAGUACGGUAGGGGUAGAGGGAAUUCCCAGUGUAGCGGUGAAAUGCGUAGAUAUUGGGAAGAACACCGGUGGCGAAGGCGGCGACCUGGUCCGGUACUGACGCUGAGGCGCGAAAGCGUGGGGAGCAAACAGGAUUAGAUACCCCCGUAGUCC
Molecule: ribosomal RNA, 426 nt
Filed under: uncultured prokaryote
Description: bacterial SSU rRNA
Rfam family: Bacterial small subunit ribosomal RNA
Source: RNAcentral